RNAcentral lists this ribosomal RNA (490 nucleotides) under uncultured bacterium. RNAcentral's name for it is "bacterial SSU rRNA". It matches the Rfam family "Bacterial small subunit ribosomal RNA", at positions 30 to 524 of the family's 1533-position model. The record is from RNAcentral.
AUUGAACGCUGGCGGCAUGCCUUACACAUGCAAGUCGAACGGCAGCGCGGGGCAACCUGGCGGCGAGUGGCGAACGGGUGAGUAAUAUAUCGGAACGUGCCCUGGAGUGGGGGAUAACGUAGCGAAAGUUACGCUAAUACCGCAUACGAUCCAAGGAUGAAAGCAGGGGACCUUCGGGCCUUGUGCUCCUGGAGCGGCCGAUAUCUGAUUAGCUAGUUGGUGGGGUAAAAGCCUACCAAGGCGACGAUCAGUAGCUGGUCUGAGAGGACGACCGGCCACACUGGUACUGAGACACGGACCAGACUCCUACGGGAGGCAGCAGUAAGGAAUAUGGUCAAUGGAGGCAACUCUGAACCAGCCAUGCCGCGUGCAGGAUGACGGCCUAUGGGUUGUAAACUGCUUUAUACAAGAGAAACCCUGGUACGUGUACCAGGUUGAUAGUAUUGUAAGAAUAAGCAUCGGCUAACUUCGUGCCAGCAGCCGCGGUAAU